This is a small nucleolar RNA of Apteryx rowi (Okarito brown kiwi), 131 nucleotides long. NCBI's taxonomy places the organism in Eukaryota, Metazoa, Chordata, Aves, Apterygiformes, Apterygidae. The record is from Ensembl.
UCCUUCUGAAAAGCACUUGCUGAGCCUGUGUUUGUGGCUCAGUGAGAUGUCGUGGGAGGGUAUAGCAACAGGAGCACUUUUGGGUGAAGCGGCAGCCUGUGCUGUUAGCUUCAAUCAGUGGUCUGACAAAA